GAUAGUUUGGGUCUCAGGGAUCUUCUUUUCUAAGUAUGAAAUGCUGAUUAUACAUGGUUUAAUGGUUAUCUUGAGUAAAAUUUGAUUCAAGGUUGUUGUAGAUAUCAAUCUUUUCUUUGUUGUUUACUUUUUGAAGAUGAUGUAGUUGAUUGUCUGAUAGUCUUGGGUUUUGAUUCUAGUAUUAGCUAUUUACUUGCUUUCUUGAUUAUAUGGUUCAUGCAAUUGAAUAGCUUCUCUGUUUUUUUUUUUUUAGCAAGGUGUAUUGGGAAUUAUUCUUGGAGGCGGAUGUAGGUAAUAUGAAUCUAUCAACGUAUCUGAUGUAGUGGAUGGAUAGUGUCCUAUCCCGAGGUGAUGAAGUUGAUUUCUUCCACGACAAGUUUCGUUGUCCAGUUUAUGUCAAGGAUGUCGUGAAUGUCAUACAAGCUUUGACUAAGAUGUGGAUUUCAGAUUUGAAGGACUUAAUUCUAUGAGGAAAAGUUGGGUUAUUUUGAAUUUGCGAUGGAAAUAACUGUGGAAGCUGAUGAAGCAUGUUUGAAUGAUCAAGGCAAAUUGACUAAGCGGAACUCAUUUCUUGAAGAUGCAUUUAAUUCAUCAUGUGAAGGAAUCAUGGGUUGUGCUUGCUAGGAUAUUGUAUUAUACUGGGCUAGAAUGAACUUCGUCGACAUUUACUUAUGUCAUGUCCAACUUAUUUCAAUCAAUGACCAUCUUGUUGGCUAUCAUCUUCAAGUCUUUGUGGCCUUAUCAAUAGGUUGGAUGGCAAAUAAACAUUCUGGUGGCGCUUAAAAAGUUUUUAUUGACAG
Long non-coding RNA from Magnolia sinica, 800 nucleotides. RefSeq lists it as uncharacterized. The transcript has 6 exons. Lineage: Eukaryota; Viridiplantae; Streptophyta; Magnoliopsida; Magnoliales; Magnoliaceae. The record is from RefSeq and is a predicted model, not a curated record.